Molecule: ribosomal RNA, 1437 nt
Filed under: Acinetobacter baumannii 756476
Lineage: Bacteria; Pseudomonadati; Pseudomonadota; Gammaproteobacteria; Moraxellales; Moraxellaceae
Description: bacterial LSU rRNA
Rfam family: Bacterial large subunit ribosomal RNA
Source: RNAcentral
AAAGGAUGUAGGCAUGUAUCUUAGGCAAAUCCGGGGUACUCUAUGCUGAGAUCUGAUAGCAAGCUGUACUUGUACAGCGAAGUGGUUGAUGCCAUGCUUCCAGGAAAAGUCUCUAAGCUUCAGUUACACAGGAAUCGUACCCGAAACCGACACAGGUGGUCAGGUCGAGUAGACCAAGGCGCUUGAGAGAACUCUGCUGAAGGAACUAGGCAAAAUGGUACCGUAACUUCGGGAGAAGGUACGCUGUUGUUGGUGAUGGAACUCGCUUCCUGAGCUGACGACAGCCGCAGAAACCAGGCCGCUGCAACUGUUUAUUAAAAACAUAGCACUCUGCAAACACGAAAGUGGACGUAUAGGGUGUGAUGCCUGCCCGGUGCUGGAAGGUUAAUUGAUGGGGUUAGCGUAAGCGAAGCUCUUGAUCGAAGCCCCAGUAAACGGCGGCCGUAACUAUAACGGUCCUAAGGUAGCGAAAUUCCUUGUCGGGUAAGUUCCGACCUGCACGAAUGGCAUAAUGAUGGCGGCGCUGUCUCCAGCAGAGGCUCAGUGAAAUCGAAAUCGCUGUGAAGAUGCAGUGUACCCGCGGCUAGACGGAAAGACCCCGUGAACCUUUACUGCAGCUUGACACUGAACUUUGACCUUACUUGUGUAGGAUAGGUGGGAGGCUUUGAAGCUGGAACGCUAGUUCCAGUGGAGCCGUCCUUGAAAUACCACCCUGGUAAUGUUGAGGUUCUAACUCUGUCCCGUGAUCCGGGACGAGGACCGUGUCUGGUGGGUAGUUUGACUGGGGCGGUCUCCUCCUAAAGAGUAACGGAGGAGUACGAAGGUGCGCUCAGCGUGGUCGGAAAUCACGCGUAGAGUAUAAAGGCAAAAGCGCGCUUAACUGCGAGACCCACAAGUCGAGCAGGUACGAAAGUAGGUCUUAGUGAUCCGGUGGUUCUGUAUGGAAGGGCCAUCGCUCAACGGAUAAAAGGUACUCUGGGGAUAACAGGCUGAUACCGCCCAAGAGUUCAUAUCGACGGCGGUGUUUGGCACCUCGAUGUCGGCUCAUCUCAUCCUGGGGCUGAAGCAGGUCCCAAGGGUAUGGCUGUUCGCCAUUUAAAGAGGUACGCGAGCUGGGUUUAGAACGUCGUGAGACAGUUCGGUCCCUAUCUACCGUGGGCGCUGGAAAUUUGAGAGGAUCUGCUCCUAGUACGAGAGGACCAGAGUGGACGAACCUCUGGUGUACCGGUUGUGACGCCAGUCGCAUCGCCGGGUAGCUAUGUUCGGAAGGGAUAACCGCUGAAAGCAUCUAAGCGGGAAGCCUACCUCAAGAUAAGAUUUCCCUAGGACUUUAUGUCCUCUAAAGAGCCGUUCGAGACUAGGACGUUGAUAGGUUGGAUGUGGAAGCAUAGUGAUAUGUGAAGCUGACCAAUACUAAUUGCUCGUGAGGCUUGACUA